GACGAACGCUGGCGGCGUGCUUAACACAUGCAAGUCGAGCGAUGAAGCACCUUCGGGUGUGGAUUAGCGGCGAACGGGUGAGGAACACGUGAGGAAUCUGCCUUCCACUCUGGGAUAACUCCGGGAAACCGGGGCUAAUACCGGAUAUUUUCAACUGGCGGCAUCGCCGGUUGAAGAAAGUUUUUCGGUGGAAGAUGACCUCGCGGCCUAUCAGCUUGUUGGUGAGGUAAAGGCUCACCAAGGCGACGACGGGUAGCCGGCCUGAGAGGGGAACCGGCCACACUGGGACUGAGACACGGCCCAGACUCCUACGGGAGGCAGCAGUGGGGAAUAUUGGGCAAUGGAGGAAACUCUGACCCAGCGACGCCGCGUGAGGGAUGAAGGCCUUCGGGUUGUAAACCUCUUUCAGCAGGGAAUAAGCGAAAGUGAAGGUACCUGCAGAAGAAGCACCGGCUAACUAUGUGCCAGCCGCCGCGGUAA
This 480-nucleotide ribosomal RNA is filed under the name uncultured bacterium. Its description in RNAcentral is "partial 16S ribosomal RNA". It matches the Rfam family "Bacterial small subunit ribosomal RNA", at positions 28 to 523 of the family's 1533-position model. The record is from RNAcentral.